RNAcentral lists this ribosomal RNA (1830 nucleotides) under hydrothermal vent metagenome. RNAcentral describes it as "bacterial LSU rRNA". It matches the Rfam family "Archaeal large subunit ribosomal RNA", at positions 733 to 2882 of the family's 2987-position model. The record is from RNAcentral.
GCAACUUUUGUGAGGAGAAGCGUGUGAAAGUGCGUUGAGUCAUGGCGGUAAGGCUAGAAGCCAGUCGAUCUAUUCCUGAGCAAGCUGAAGGCGGGCGAAAGCCCGUUGGAAGGCUGUAGCAGUUCUGACGUGCAAAUCGUUUGUGUGACUUGGGAAUAGGGGACAAGAACCAAUCUAGACUGGCGAUCGCUAGUUCCAACCGAAGCGUCUCGCAGGGCGUCCUUUGCGGAGAUAGCAUUUCCUGUAGAGCACUGAUCUUUAGGUAUGGGGGAGAAAUCCCUCGCCUUCAUUUCAAACUCCGAAUGGAUAUGCAUCGUAGAAGCAAGGAGACGGGUUCGUGUGACGUAAGGUUCACGACCGAAAGGGGUUUAACCCAGACUAAAGUUAAGGUCCCCAAAUUUUUGCUAAGUGUCAAGCCAAAGGGCGUGUUCUCGCCAAGACAGCAGGGAGGUAAGCUCAGAAGCAGCUAUCCUUUAAAAAGUGUGUAACAACUUACCUGCCGAGGGAGAAUGCCUCAAAAACGGACGGGGCUAAAGCAAAGUACCGAUACUUUAGAUAAUCAUCAGUGGAUGAUUCGUGGUAGGUUGAGCGUAGUGAUUGGGUCGAAGCAGGGCGAUGACGUCCUGUGGACCGAUUUCUAUUGCAGAUCUUGGUGGUAGUAACAGCAUAGUAUGGUGAGAAUCCAUACCACCGCAAGCGCAAGGGUUUCCAGGCAAUGCGUUAUCAGCCUGGAGGUAGUCGAUCCUAAGGUUUGCCUCAACAGAGUAAAUCGAAUGGGAAACUAGUUAAUAUUCUAGUACCUUGCAUGGAGCGUUUGAGCUAUAUGGUUCGCUUUCGGAUAGGGGUUGUACAACCAUCGUUGUAUCUAACUAUUCAAGGACUUGGGAGUGUCGUAAUGACGAGAACUAGUCCGAGGUAGGAAUGGCUUCGCGUUAGCGAAGUUUUCUCGAAUCCAGGAGACCAUGAAAGACUGUGUAGCAAGCAACAUGCAAGCUCGUACCCAGAACCGACACAGGUGCGCUGGCUUAGAAAGCUAAGGUGCUACGGGUAUACCGUAUGGCGAGGGAAUUCGGCAAAUUAGUCCUNAGUUCCGACGCGCAUGAAUGGAACAACGAGAGCCCCACUGUCCCCGCCUACAACCCGGUGAAGCCACAUAAGGUGGACGAACAGUCCAUCAACUUCCAUCGGGGAGAGAAGACCCCGUGGAGUUUUACUGCAGCUUGUGCUUGUGGUAUAGUAAGAAUUGCACAGGGUAUCUGGGAGCUAUGCUUAACAUUCCCCGGGAUGUUAAUGAAGCAACGAUGUAACACCAGACUCUUUUUGCAGUACCACUUAUCCAGUGAAGACCGGAGACACGUGCAGGUAGGCAGUUCGGCUGGGGCGGCACCCCUUUGAAAAGAUAUCAAAGGGGCCCAAAGUUGAGUUCAAACGGGGCAGAAAUCCGUUGAAGAGGGCAAAGCCAAAAACUCGACUGAAUGGAUUUCCAAACGCACGGAAUUCAUAGACGAAAGUCUGGCUUAGCGAUCCUUCGUGUGCCCACUAUUGGGGCCCGGAGGUGACAGAAAAAUUACCCCAGGGAUAACAGGCUCGUCGNNNNNNNNGCCUAUUAAAAGGGAACAUGAGCUGGGUUUAGACCGUCGUGAGACAGGUCGGUCUCUGCCUGAUGGAAGCGUGAAUAACUGAGGGGAAGUUCCUCCUAGUACGAGAGGAACAGAGGAGCGUGGCCACUGGUUUACCGGUUGUCUGAUAAGGCAGGCCGGGCAGCUAAGCCGUUUGGGCUAAGUGCUGAAAGCAUCUAAGCACGAAUCCCAUCCCGAGACAAGUUAUUCU